This 423-nucleotide ribosomal RNA is filed under the name uncultured bacterium. RNAcentral's name for it is "bacterial SSU rRNA". It matches the Rfam family "Bacterial small subunit ribosomal RNA", at positions 358 to 778 of the family's 1533-position model. The record is from RNAcentral.
GGAAUAUUGGUCAAUGGGCGCAAGCCUGAACCAGCCAUCCCGCGUGAAGGAAGAAGGCGCUAUGCGUCGUAAACUUCUUUUCCGGAGGAAUAAAAUUUUGUACGAGUACAGAACUGAAGGUACUCCGGGAAUAAGCAUCGGCUAACUCCGUGCCAGCAGCCGCGGUAAUACGGAGGAUGCAAGCGUUAUCCGGAUUUAUUGGGUUUAAAGGGUGCGUAGGCGGAUUACUAAGUCAGUGGUGAAAACCUUCAGCUUAACUGGAGACUUGCCAUUGAUACUGUUAGUCUUGAGUAUGGUUAAGGUAGGCGGAAUGUGUAAUGUAGCGGUGAAAUGCUUAGAUAUUACACAGAACACCGAUUGCGAAGGCAGCUUACUGAGCCAUAACUGACGCUGAUGCACGAAAGCGUGGGGAGCGAACAGGAU